RNAcentral lists this transfer RNA (73 nucleotides) under Candidatus Treponema merdequi. RNAcentral describes it as "tRNA-Phe". It matches the Rfam family "tRNA". From Rfam's summary of the family: Transfer RNA (tRNA) molecules are approximately 80 nucleotides in length. Lineage: Bacteria; Pseudomonadati; Spirochaetota; Spirochaetia; Treponematales; Treponemataceae. The record is from RNAcentral.
GCCGUGGUAGCUCAGCUGGUAGAGCGCCGGACUGAAAAUCCGUAUGUCGUCAGUUCGACUCUGACCCAUGGCA